Molecule: long non-coding RNA, 610 nt
Filed under: Columba livia (rock pigeon)
Lineage: Eukaryota; Metazoa; Chordata; Aves; Columbiformes; Columbidae
Description: partial uncharacterized LOC102097602, transcript variant X3
Rfam family: Small nucleolar RNA SNORA61 (bases 301-418)
Source: RNAcentral
CCCGCCACAUGGACGCGACAGGUCGGGGGCGCUCCGAUGGGCUGCGGAGGGGCAGCGCGGCUGCGGGAGGGCCUUGGCCCGGCGCGUGGGGAAGAUGCCGGGCCCGCCGUGGGUGAGUGGCCUCGCAGCGGGCAUCCUGGCGUCAGAGGUGAUCGCGGUGCCUGAGGCGGCUGGUGACGGCCUCAGCUCAGCGGCGUGGGGCAGGGUCGUUUGAUGUUUUGGAGCUCGCUCAGCCCGGGGCCUUUCCUCCUGACAGACGCGAGGUGAGAACGUAGCCCCGUGUUGCAGCGCCACGGCUCGUCCCUCCAGAUCCCUUUCCCAUCAGAUCUGAGUACCGAUCUUGUGGUCAAAAAAGGAGGAAAAGUAAGAUCCAGACUGGUCUUGGUCUCUUUGCUGGUGCAGUCCUGCUCUGAGAAGGGCCGGUUUGGAGACAGUCUGCGCUGGCCUCGCUCCUGCGGGAAGGCUGGGGCGGGAGUGCAGCUCCCACUCCGGAGGCGGCACAAAGGUUGGGUGUGGAGGUGCUGUGAAGAUUUGCAGGCUGGUGUUUGCGUGGCUGGAUCUGGCGCGUUGAUUCCGGGUGUACAGUAGCCCACUGACUCCAGAUACUUAC